CCUUGUCGACCAAGUCAAUUUCAAUUGAGCGUUUUCUUUGGCUUCAUUUUCAAAUGUCAUAGAAAAUUAGACAACAAAAUCAUAUGGUGUGUGUGUGUAUGCGCAGAGAGACACACAUAACAUUGUAGUGUAUGCGCAGAGAGACACACAUAACAUUGUAGAUUAUAUUAAUGAAAGUGCUACAAAACUUGACUACAUGGAAAAAAGUUUACCAAACAAAGCACAAGCAAGGCUAUUAUUUUCCAUGUAUUCAUAUAUUAGUAAUAACUGAUCUCCCUCCAUACAGCAACCAUAGAGCUUAACUAGACAAGGGUGUUGCAAAGCAGAAAUCAAGCCGAUCUCAUUUAUAAAUUCGCGGUUCCCUUGCUUUGAUUUAGAGGAAAGCUGCUUAACUGCUACUAUUGUGCCGUCUGAAAGAACACCCUGCAAUUCAAGGAAUUUAUAUUAUAUCUCUGUACGUGAAAGAAGUAAAAACAAUAAUAGAUAUAUCAAUGACAUUCAAAUUUGAAAUGAAAGUGUAGAUUGUACAAAUACCUUGUAAACCGGACCAAACCCUCCUUCUCCAAUCUUAUAGGCAAUAUCAAAGUUGUUAGUCGCUGCUUUGAUUUGCCGUAACGUAAAUAGCCCAGGUUGGAAAUCUAAACCCUUUAGCUCUGUUGAUUGAAGUAAAAAAGAAUAUAUAAAUAAAAUCAGAGAUAUUUUUUUGAGUAACUUCCACAUCAAUACUUUUAGCAAGUACAAAUCUAGACACAAUGGCAGCCUUGAGCUCUAUAUUUUUAUAAAAUCAAAUUCAGCUUAUUAUGCUUAUAAAAGAAUUUCCGAAAGUUAAUUUUCAGGGUCUUACCUCUUUCUAACGGACCCAUAUGUUGUCGACAUCUUCUCCACCAAUAUAUACCAAAUACUAGUAAGAUAACUAGUCCUCCAGCAACAACAAUCACAGCAAUUUCCCAAACAGGUAUGCUACUGCCUUUUUCCACCGGCGGUGUAAAGUCUGUUUAAUUAUGAUAUAAUAUAAAAGGUUGUCAUAUAGACCAUAUUAGAGGAUGAUGGAAUAAGAAGAACCAUGAAGAACUAUAACUGACCAGGAUCAACCGAUAUAGCCGAUAUAAGAGGACCAUGUACUGAAUCAAAUGGGAUACCGGUUGUCCCUUUCCCCGCCCAAUGAAGGCGAAUCUCCAACGUAUUACUAGUCACAUUAGCAGUGAACUUCUUUAUGAUUGCCUUACCAACUCCACCGGCUUCUUUUGCAAUAUUGAAAUCCUUCAGCACCAACCUUCCCUGCAAAAUGGUUUAUAACGGUCAAAGGAAACUUGUUCAAUACUAAACAUGUUGCUGAAAAACAUAAGAUGAUGAGAUCAUGCACCUGAAUAUAUAUGUCAAAUAUACGUCUUCCAAGGCUGUUAUAUGUUUGAUCAUCCGUAAACAUUAUCUCCGCAAAAUGGAGAUUUACAGUGUAGUUUCCAUUUCCCAGACAAAAGCCAUAAUAUGUUAGAGAAAGCGGCGAAACCCGUGCAUCCAUAUACAGUUCGGCAUUUUCCAUGGCAAGGUUAGUUUUGUUAGACCAGGUAUAGUAGUCCGCAAGGCUAUCGAAGAAGUGACCAGUGUUGCUAAGGGCCCAGUUUGAUCCAGUUCGCUGAAAGCUUGCUGGUCCAACUUGACUUGAAUCAUCAUCAUAUGUCAAACUUUCAUUCGAAGUUAUUUUCUUACCACCACAAUUUAUACGGAGAGAGUACGAAGCUGGAAUGGUCAAAAGAAAAAAAAUGCGAAGUACAAUAAGAUGAUCGUAUUAUAAAUAAAAAUUGUAAGAUUAGAACCUAGAACAACAACCUUGAUUCGAAAGAAAACAAAUAUGAAAAACACAAAAAGAGAAUACUAGGAUUUAUUGUAGAAAUAAGCUCAAAUAAGCAUUUGUAAGCUCAAAUAAGCCAAUUCAAACAGGCCCUAAGUAGAAAUUAUUAAGUUAAAAGCACCAGCAGGUAUCCUACAAUCUAAAGGAAAACCACGACAAAUCAACUUACUUUUAGGACAGCUGAAGUUCCCCAAACAUGAAACCCUUCCCCUAAGAAAUAAUGGUGUGUAACAUAUCAGCAUAAUCACAUUAUAAAAUAAUUUAUUAUGACUCAUGAGUAGUACAAAACUUACAAGUUAUUUCGCUUUGAAGAUGAUGCAAAUAAGUUCCUGCGGCACAUGGUAAACAGCAAAAGAUUAGAUAGUUUCUUAAAAUUGUUGAAACAAAAAAAGUAUGAAAAAACAAGGAUUCUUACACGGUUCCCUGUUGACAUGUCAACUGCUCUGGAUUUUCAAUGCUCAAAUUGUUAUACGAAAGAUCUCUGCAUGUGUCAAAUUAUGCAUGUGAUUCAGAAAUAAAGAUGUAACAAAGAACUAUAUGUAACACUUUUUGGUAUAGAAAUUUCGAAAACUAGUUGUACAAAAAUUUAGCAUGCAGAAGUAAUAAUUAACCUCAAUAAAUUAAAUAAGCAGCGUUUGAAGGAUUACUCACGUGUAGUCUGGUCUAGCAAUCCAAUUUGGAAGCGGUCCAGUAAAAAGGUUUCCAGUUAAGUAUCUAAGUAAAAAAAUAAGAUAAGAUUAAUGAAGACUAGAUUAAAGUUUAAGGAUAUCAAGAAACAACUUGCCCCAAUGUUCUACGCUUUCUCCUUAUUUCCAUUUAUAGAUUUACCUGUUUUUCUAAUCAUUCUCAAUUUAGAUUUUCAGCGAGAGGCCGCGACGUGAUUAUCUCAUGGUGAUAUAUAAAUUUAUUGGUCUGAAGUUUAAGAACAAAAAUAAAUAAAAUAUAUGCACAUAGACAUAGUUCUAGAUUGCAGUUCGCAACUGCAAUAGGGUUUUAGAGGUUUCUGCAACGGCAUCAAACUGCAAUUGUGGCCGUAUUUGCCUGCACUGUUGCAGUGUAAUUGCAUUUUAGAACCAUGCAUGCACAUGGACUUGAAAUGGAUAAAUAUUUAUGAGAGAAAUGAAUCAGAUUCACGAUUUUCCACUUGCGUCUCUAUCUAAAAUCCAAUCUAUUAAUAAUCUCGUUGCUUCGUUGCAAACAAUUCUAACCUUGUCUUCAUAAGUUUAAAUCACACUUUCUUUCAGGUAUCUUUAAGAAUUCAAUUUGGUGUAUACAAGUAACUCAGAGGAUAUUGCUUACAGCAUAUUUAUGUUCUUCAGGCCACCCAAGGUGAUCGGAAUCGGUCCAGUUAAUUUGUUAAAACUGAGAUCUCUGAAAAAGAAAUUAUGCUCAGAAUAAAUAUUAUUCGACAAGAAAAAUGUUUUAGUCCCGAUAACAUAACAAAAGAAGCAUCUUGUUUUUCACCAAAAUUUGAGUACUGAUUGCAUCUAUUGUAACUGGUUCUAACGCAUGUGAAUAAUGCAAGAAACUUCCUAGUAUUACUUACAAAGAUUUUAAAGUAGUAAUAUGUCCAAGAUAGUCGGGAACUUCUCCUAUAAGAUUGCAACUCCUCAGCACUCUGUCAAAAAAAUUGAUACUAUGUAAAUUUUUAAGUGCAAUGCACUUAUGCUAAUAAUCCAAGCAAUUCCCUUACAAUGUUUGAAUAUUUGUCAAGCCAAUAAGUUGCGGAAAAGGAGAAUCUGAUCCUUUCAAGUCGCUUAUUCUCCUGCAUAACAUUUAUUAAUCACUGUAAAACUCAAUAAGAGAAAAAUUGAAUUUUAAAUCCUUGACCAAAAUCUAUAAAGCACUAACACAAAUACCGAACACGAUACUGACGUUGACAUACAUGUAGUGUGUCGGACACUAGACUCACAUUCAAUUUAAAUGUCGGUGUUAAAGAUCACAAGAAAAUACAUCAUACUUACAAGCCAUUGAGGUUUUUCAGAUAUGAAAUUCCAGAAGGAAUUGGACCACUCAAACCACUCCCUUGCAUCACCCUGUCAAAAUUAAAAGUUAUUAUUUUGACAAACCAGCUUAACUAAGAAAAAAAAUUAUGAUUUAGAAUUUCGNGAUCGAUUUUGAGCAACCUGGGGGAAGUGGAUCAAGUACACCGCAACCAUACUCGACCGGGGUGUUACCAGCUUUUGCAAAUCAUGUGCGUGCUAGAUCCGAGUUGCGUCAUCCAGAUGUUCGUCACGAACUGCAAGUAGAUCUAGUGAAGCACAUAUGGACAAAGUUUGGAAUGUAUCAUGAUUGAAGAUGAUUUCUAUCGUACUAAAUAAAUUAUUUGUGUGUUGUAUUUCAUUUUAAGUUAUUUGUGUGCCGCGUGUUUAGUUUGUUGUAUUGCAUUUUAAGUUAAGAAAAUAAAAAUAAAUUAUUUUGCAAAAUUUUGUUUUUUUCAAAAAACCUAAAAAAUAAAUAGUUAAUUGUAUUAUUUUAAUUUAAUUAUAAUCGAUAAUUUUAUGUAACUAUAAAAACAAAAAUUAAAUAAGAAUAAGAAAUACAAAGUGGUGGGGUAGAGUGUUGAAUGAAAAACCAUUGGAGAGGGUAAAAGUUGAAUGAGUAUUGAAUAAGAGAGAGAAAAUGAUGUGGAGUGUUGGAAAUUGAAAAAAUAGGUGUUGAAAGGGAAAAUCAUUGGACAUGGUCUUACAAUCCAUCUAAAUAAAAGUUUUUAUUUUUUUAUUUUUUUUUACAAAAACAAAACGAUAUUCAUUCAUUCAAAUCGAUAGAGUACAUCAGAUACAAACAUCACUAAAAACGUAAAGGGUGAAUUUGCGAACAAACUCACAACACCCAAUUUAACAGCAAUAUAAUAAAUUUUCUUUCUUUCAUCUCUAGUUUUCUCUCUUAAUUUCUAGAGUGUGAUCCCUACUCGAAUUGGACCAUAUCAUAAUGCUACUACAAUUAUGAUUUUUGGUACACUUUAAUUUAUGUUUAUGAAAGAUUUCCAUAUUGUAGACAAGCUCAUAAGAAUUUUAUAGACAAACCCUAUAUUAUAAUUGUCGUUUGACAACAUAAUAUUAUAAAAAUAUAGUUUUUGUGGGGAUUAUGAAAAUAUUCUUAUUACCAUUAUUCACUCAUAUAAAAAUAAGCUCAUAAGAAUUUUAUAGACAAACCCUAUAUUAUAAUUGUCUUUUGACAAAAUAAUAUUAUAAAAAUAUUGUUUUUGUGGGGAUUAUAAAAAUAUUCUUAUUACCAUUAUUCACUAAUAUAAAAAUAUUGAGAAAAACGUCAUUCCAUAAUUCCUCUAAAAAAGAAAACACAUUCCUUAGUUAUAGUGUAUGUUCGCUCAUGAAUUGAAUUAUAAAAUAAAUCACACUUAAUUUGAACUUAAUUUGAACAAGAUAAACGAAAUGAUAAACAUUAUAUCCUUUUUCAAUAAAACUAAUUAAUAUUAUUUAUUUGGAAAAUUAAAGGUUUUUUUUUUUUUUUUGUAACAAAGUUUGUUUUUGUUACGUGCAAAUUUAAAUUUCCAUGAAAGACAGGAUAUGAAAGUUUUUGUUACCUAUAAGGUGUGUUUGAUAUGCUAAAAAAUGAAGGAUAAAACAUAACAACUUCAGUUGUAUAAUGUUUGAUUUGUAAAACUCUUUAGGGAUAGAACAAAUUGAAGGCAAAGAACAUAACAAAAAGCGUAUAAGGCUAGAUAUUAUUCAAUACUAUAAAAUUUUGUUACGUGUUGUUCUGUCUUAUUUUGUGCUAUAUAUUUUGUUUUGAGGAGUUCUGUCCAGUUGUUACUGUUUAACAUAUCAAACACACCCAUAAUAAUGGUUUCUUGUGUAGUUAAAAUUCUAUUAUUAAGAUCAAUAACAUUGUUAAAAAUCUCAAGUGCAAAAUAUAAUAACAAUUCUAAUGGAAAAAACAAAAGACUUCGUUAAUGUUACUUCAAAAAAAAAAAAAGACUUCAUUAAUGUUAAAAAAGGAAGAAAGAGCGAGUGAUAGAGAGAGGAUCCAUCAAUUUAUUUAUUUUUUGUUUUUGGUGAAAUGACCCAUCAAUUUUACCAGUGAGAUGAGUGUAUGUAAAAAAAUAAUGAAUUUAUUGGAGAGAGGGGGUAAUGUAUCACAAUUAUUUAUUAUUGAAGAAAAGAUUAGACAUCAAAGUUAUUUGAAAGAAAGAGUGAAUGCGAGAAAAAAAAAAAUUUAUUGCUGGAUUAGAAUGAGGGUAUAAUAAAAAAAACAAAAAAGUACACUUCAUUAAUUUGAGGGUGUUAUUCUAAAAUGACACGUAAAAAGAAAUAGAUGAAAUAUAAUUAUCCUAGUAAAUAGAUUUUCAAUGAGAAGCUCGUUUUAUUCAUUUUGAGAUGGAAAAGAUAACAAAAUAUUAAAAUAAAAAAUUGAGGUUGUACCAUGUUAAACUUGUAAAUAGAACUGAGAAAUAGUUAACUUGUGCAACAAGUUAACUUGAUAUGCAAGCUUCUGCAUAAGUUAGACAUUAGAAUAAUGACAGCUAUGAGUUAGUUAGGAUUAUACACAUAACACACAUUCUCUUUUCUUCCUAGCUUCUGCAAUUUCUAUGGUUUUCAUUAUGUUGAUGAUGAACUUCAUGACAGUAUCAGAGCUAAUGCCGCUGCGAACGGUGAUGGAAAUUUGAUUCCUCUAAUUCUUGAUCAUUAUGAACAACCUAGUACUGUUUAUCAUGUUCAUCUUUUUGAUAGUCCCUCUUAUGUUGCAGUCACUCCAAUUUUAACACAUCCGAAUUGUCAUGCUAGGGCUCGAUCCAUGAGACGAGCUUUUGGAGCAAAGAACAAAUUUGAUUUUGUUGAUGGUUCUAUACAUGUUUCUACGGGGUUUGAUCCAAGUUUCAAGUCUUGGAAUCGCUGCAAUAUGCUUGUUCAUUUGUGGAAAAUGAACUAUCUUGAUGAAUCAAUUGCGCACCACAUAGUUUUUCUGGAAAAUGCAAUUGACGUUUGGAAUGAGCUAAAGCAAAGAUUUUCGUAAGGUGAUUAUAUGAAACACGGCUGAAGUUUGCUAUAAGAAACAUGAUUUUCCUCCUCAUGCUAUCUACAUUAGGACUUGUUUGGGACUUUUGAAACUUAAAAGACCACUUUGGGAAAAACGAAAAACUUAAAAGGACCUUUAGAUGCAUUUGACCUUAAUAUUUCAAUAAGUUGAAUACAGAAUUUCCAAGAUAAAGUUUAUACUUCCAGUUUCUUUUUUUAUAUAUAUAGUUUAUUUUUUAAAAUCUAUAAGGAGAAUCCAUGCUGAUAGAACGCAUAUCUGUAUGAGACAUAAAUUCUGCAGUUUCACUUAUUAAGAUGCUCUCUUCUUGAGUCUCUGGUGUAUAAACUUUUUCACUUUGUUCACAAUACUGUUGAAUAAUUUCCAACUGUUGAUGAUACUGUUGAAUAAUUUCCAACUUAUUGCCUUCAAAAACUUGGCUUGUGUCUUGUUUAACUUCUUCAACAUCAGAUUGUCCUUCAAGCAUGCUUACAACUGAUGACAUGGUUGGUCUAUGCAUCGGAGAAACACGAGUGCAUAAAAGAGCUACAUUGAUCAUGAUCAUUGCUUCCUCUUUGUUGAAAUCUUCACCUAAUCUCUCAUCAAUUAGGUCCAUUAUGUUACCUUCUUCCUUUAAGAGAUGCACCUGAUAAAGAUGAAAUACAAACUUCAAGAUAUUGUGAUGAAGACUCAAAUUGGAUAGAAGGUAUGAAGUUAUGGAUGUGUUAGUUACCCGAUCAACAAGAGAGAAGCAUUCAUCCCUUGGCCUAUUCAUGGUGUUGUGCUUCCCACUAACAAUUUCCAAGGCAACUACUCCAAAACUAUAAACAUCCACUUUCUCCGUCAAAUAUCCGUGCAUUGCAUAUUCUGGAGCCAUAUAUCCACUGCAACAUAAAAAAUUAGGUUGGAAAAUGAUAAAUACCCUUAAAAAAUUCCAUAAAAAAAAGAACAAAUUAUAUAUAGAACUCACUAAGUGCCGGCUACUCUAGUAGUUAUAUGUGUGUGUCCGUCAUCUUUAAGCUUGGCCAAACCAAAAUCCGAUAUCUUUGGAUUGAGAUCUUUAUCGAGCAACACAUUAGUUGCUUUGAUGUCCCUGUGAACUAUCUUAAGCCUCGACUCUUCAUGUAGGUAAGCCAAACCUCUAGCAAUACCGACGCAAAUUUUCUUCCUUGUCGACCAAGUCAAUUUCAAUGGACAGUUUUCUUUGGCUUCAUUUUCAAAUGUCAUAGAAAAUUAGACGACAAAAUCAUAUGGUGUGUGUACACAGAGAGACACACACAACAUUGUAGAUUAUAUUAAUGAAAGAGCUACAAAACUUGACUACAUGGAUAAAAGGUUUACCAAACAAAGCACAAUCAAGGCUAUUAUUUUCCAUGUAUUCAUAUAUUAGCAAUAACUGAUCUCCCUCCAUACAGCAACCAU
This 8245-nucleotide long non-coding RNA is filed under the name Medicago truncatula (barrel medic). RNAcentral describes it as "long non-coding RNA (MTRU_LNC008693)". Lineage: Eukaryota; Viridiplantae; Streptophyta; Magnoliopsida; Fabales; Fabaceae. The record is from RNAcentral.